Molecule: long non-coding RNA, 272 nt
Filed under: Mytilus galloprovincialis (Mediterranean mussel)
Lineage: Eukaryota; Metazoa; Mollusca; Bivalvia; Mytilida; Mytilidae
Source: RNAcentral
GCUUGUGAGUAUUUUUACUCUUGUUUUUUUGUUUUUGUUUUUUUAAUUGGGGAAAACAGUAGUGGGGAUUUCGUUUCUUUCCAUUUGAUUUGUUUUUAAGCAGCAAAACCUGUAAAAACUGAAAUAUUUGUCAUUCACAUGGUCAGUAAAUUCAUUUCCUUGACAAUUAAGUACACAUCCUGUUAUUUCGGUAUGUUCUGUAAUUACGAUCAUUCACGAGGUUCCAAAAACUUGAUUGGAACCCAUGCAUCCAUAAGACAUGUCGAGUUAAU